GAUGAACGCUAGCGGCAGGCUUAACACAUGCAAGUCGAGGGGUAGAAGGAGCUUGCUCCUUUGAGACCGGCGCACGGGUGCGUAACGCGUAUGCAAUCUACCUUUCACAGAGGGAUAGCCCAGAGAAAUUUGGAUUAAUACCUCAUAGUAUAGCAGUUUCGCAUGAAACCACUAUUAAAGUCACAACGGUGAAAGAUGAGCAUGCGUCCCAUUAGCUAGUUGGUAAGGUAACGGCUUACCAAGGCAACGAUGGGUAGGGGUCCUGAGAGGGAGAUCCCCCACACUGGUACUGAGACACGGACCAGACUCCUACGGGAGGCAGCAGUGAGGAAUAUUGGACAAUGGGCGCAAGCCUGAUCCAGCCAUGCCGCGUGCAGGAAUAAGAAGCACCGGCUAACUACGUGCCAGCAGCCGCGGUAAAGUAGACGUCU
RNAcentral lists this ribosomal RNA (431 nucleotides) under uncultured bacterium. RNAcentral describes it as "bacterial SSU rRNA". It matches the Rfam family "Bacterial small subunit ribosomal RNA", at positions 28 to 536 of the family's 1533-position model. The record is from RNAcentral.